This 456-nucleotide ribosomal RNA is filed under the name Dendropsophus sp. minutus group. RNAcentral's name for it is "partial 16S ribosomal RNA". It matches the Rfam family "Bacterial large subunit ribosomal RNA", at positions 1819 to 2484 of the family's 2925-position model. The record is from RNAcentral. Lineage: Eukaryota; Metazoa; Chordata; Amphibia; Anura; Hylidae.
CGCCUCUUGAAACCAUAUAAGAGGUCCAGCCUGCCCAGUGACUAAGUUCAACGGCCGCGGUAUCCUAACCGUGCGAAGGUAGCGUAAUCACUUGUUCUUUAAAUGAGGACUAGUAUGAAUGGCACCACGAGGGUUAUACUGUCUCCUUUCUCUAAUCAAUGAAACUGAUCUCCCCGUGAAGAAGCGGGGAUAAAUUUAUAAGACGAGAAGACCCUAUGGAGCUUUAAACUACGUGACACUGGCUUAUAUUCUACUGUGUUUCAGAAUUAUCACAAUUAUACUAGCUAGUAUGAUUACUAGUUUUAGGUUGGGGUGACCACGGAGCAAAAAUUAACCUCCAUGAUGAACGGAACCUAUUCCUGAGCUAAAAGCUACAACUUUAAGCACUAACAAAUUAACAUUAAUUGACCCAAAAUAUUGAUCAACGAACCAAGUUACCCUAGGGAUAACAGCGCA